GGGGUUGUGAGUCAGAGGUAGAGCGCUUGCUUAGCAUGCAUGAGGCACUGGGUUCGAUCCUCAGCACCACA
Molecule: transfer RNA, 71 nt
Filed under: Marmota monax (woodchuck)
Lineage: Eukaryota; Metazoa; Chordata; Mammalia; Rodentia; Sciuridae
Description: tRNA.Ala
Source: RNAcentral